Molecule: ribosomal RNA, 119 nt
Organism: Macadamia integrifolia
Lineage: Eukaryota; Viridiplantae; Streptophyta; Magnoliopsida; Proteales; Proteaceae
Source: RefSeq, a predicted model, not a curated record
GGGUGCGAUCAUACCAGUACUAAUGCACCGGUUCCCAUAAGAAGACUGCAGUUAAGCGUGCUUGGGCGAGAGUAGUACUAGGAUGGGUGACCUCUUGGGAAGUCCUCGUGGUGCACCCU